RNAcentral lists this transfer RNA (77 nucleotides) under Phascolarctobacterium sp. RNAcentral's name for it is "tRNA-Asn". It matches the Rfam family "tRNA". From Rfam's summary of the family: Transfer RNA (tRNA) molecules are approximately 80 nucleotides in length. The record is from RNAcentral. Lineage: Bacteria; Bacillati; Bacillota; Negativicutes; Acidaminococcales; Acidaminococcaceae.
UCCCCGAUAGCUCAAUCGGUAGAGCACUCGGCUGUUAACCGAGUUGUUGUAGGUUCGAGUCCUACUCGGGGAGACCA